Molecule: unclassified non-coding RNA, 186 nt
Organism: Chelonoidis abingdonii (Abingdon island giant tortoise)
Lineage: Eukaryota; Metazoa; Chordata; Testudines; Testudinidae
Source: Ensembl
UCAACCACUCCGGAGACUGAAGUCCUAUGUUUACCCACUGCAUGACCUGUAAGAGCUGACUGCAUGGGUAACAAGCUUCUCAUCUACACCACACACCACCAAUGUACCUCUGCCCUGCCAGAGAGGGACCACCUCUAGAGUUCACCAGGGAGUUCAGUCUCCAUGGCUCACUGAGUACUUGAUCCC